Molecule: ribosomal RNA, 404 nt
Filed under: Verrucomicrobiota bacterium
Lineage: Bacteria; Pseudomonadati; Verrucomicrobiota
Description: Verrucomicrobia bacterium partial 16S ribosomal RNA
Rfam family: Bacterial small subunit ribosomal RNA
Source: RNAcentral
UGGGGAAUAUUGCACAAUGGGGGAAACCCUGAUGCAGCGACGCCGCGUGAGCGAUGAAGGCUUUCGAGUCGUAAAGCUCUGUACUAUGGGAAGAUAAUGACGGUACCAUAGAAGAAAGCCCCGGCUAAUUACGUGCCAGCAGCCGCGGUAAUACGUAAGGGGCGAGCGUUGUCCGGAAUUAUUGGGCGUAAAGAGUGCGUAGGCGGCAAAUUAAGUCAGAUGUGAAAACUAAGGGCUCAACCCAUAGAUUGCAUCUGAAACUGAUAUGCUUGAGUCAAGGAGAGGAAAGUGGAAUUCCUAGUGUAGCGGUGGAAUGCGUAGAUAUUAGGAGGAAUACCGGUGGCGAAGGCGACUUUCUGGACUUGAACUGACGCUGAGGCACGAAAGCGUGGGGAGCAAACAGG